GGAGGAAAGCAGGGGAUCGCAAGACCUUGCGCUCAUUGAGCGGCCGAUGCCUGAUUAGCUAGUUGGUGAGGUAAAGGCUUACCAAGGCGACGAUCAGUAGCUGGUCUGAGAGGACGACCAGCCACACUGGGACUGAGACACGGCCCAGACUCCUACGGGAGGCAGCAGUGGGGAAUUUUGGGCAAUGGGGGAAACCCUGAUCCAGCCAUGCCGCGUGAGUGAAGAAGGCCUUCGGGUUGUAAAGCUCUUUCAGCCGGAACGAAACGGUCACGGCUAAUACCUGUGACUACUGACGGUACCGGAAGAAGAAGCACCGGCUAACUACGUGCCAGCAGCCGCGGUAAUACGUAGGGUGCGAGCGUUAAUCGGAAUUACUGGGCGUAAAGCGUGCGCAGGCGGUUUUGUAAGUCAGAAGAGAAAUCCCCGGGCUUAACCUGGGAACUGCGUUUGUAAAUAGAAAGCUAGAAGGGC
Molecule: ribosomal RNA, 471 nt
Filed under: uncultured beta proteobacterium
Lineage: Bacteria; Pseudomonadati; Pseudomonadota; Betaproteobacteria
Description: bacterial SSU rRNA
Rfam family: Bacterial small subunit ribosomal RNA
Source: RNAcentral